ACAUGUCUUUUUAGUAUUUAAUAUAAAGUCUGGUCUGCCCACUGAAUAAUAUUUGAAGGGCCGCAGUAUUUUGACUGUGCAAAGGUAGCAUAAUCAUUAGUCUUUUAAUUGAAGGCUGGUAUGAAUGGUCGGAUGAGAUAUAAGCUGUGUCAAAAAAAUUAUUAUUUGAAUUUAACUUUUUAGUCAAAAGGCUAAAAUAAAUUUAAAAGACGAGAAGACCCUAUAGAGCUUUAUAUAAUAAAUAUUUAAAUUAUUAAGAUUUAUUAAAUUUAAUUUUUAUAUUGUAUUUUGUUGGGGUGACAAUAAAAUUUAUAAAACUUUUAUUUUUAUUUAACAUUAAUUUAUGAUUAUAUGAUCCAAUUUUAUUGAUUAUAAAUUUAAGUUACCUUAGGGAUAACAGCGUAAUUUUUUUUGAGAGUUCUUAUCGACAAAAAAGAUUGCGACCUCGAUGUUGGAUUAAGAGUAAUUUUGGGUGUAGAAGUUCAAAAUUUAAGUCUGUUCGACUUUUGAAUUCUUACAUGAUC
This 524-nucleotide ribosomal RNA is filed under the name Simulium izuae. Its description in RNAcentral is "partial 16S ribosomal RNA". The stretch from base 393 to 524 matches the Rfam family "Bacterial large subunit ribosomal RNA", at positions 2473 to 2605 of the family's 2925-position model. The record is from RNAcentral. Lineage: Eukaryota; Metazoa; Arthropoda; Insecta; Diptera; Simuliidae.